Long non-coding RNA from Humulus lupulus (European hop), 441 nucleotides. RefSeq lists it as uncharacterized. The record is from RefSeq and is a predicted model, not a curated record. The transcript has 4 exons. NCBI's taxonomy places the organism in Eukaryota, Viridiplantae, Streptophyta, Magnoliopsida, Rosales, Cannabaceae.
UCUCUUCCUCACGAAGUCACGCUCCAGAGUUCUUUCUCUGCCUCACGAAGUCACGCCUCACGAAGUCACGCCUUCCAGAGAUCUAUCUCUGCCUCACGCCCACUAUCUCAGAAAUUCAGAAAAGAAGACAAGCAACUUUAGGGAACUCAGGCAUUUAUAAAGGGAUCUCAUAUUUUCAUCUUAGCUAGGUUUGGUUCAUUUGGCUAUUUUUUCACUUUCAAGUGGCUUCAUUGGAUUUCAAAUUGGAGGGAACUUUAUUUGCAGCAGUUUGCAAGAGAAACGGUUGAUCAGAAACUAGUCAAAGAGUUUGCCAAGUACAUGAUAUGUCACCUCCAUCGACAAAAGGAAAGAGGCCAAAACACAUACCUACAGGAAAAUUAGUUAAACUCCUCAAUGAAAAGAGGAAGAGCUUUAGACUAAAUUUGGAAAUGGAUAAGGUUG